GGUGGUUUGUCGCGUUGUUCGUGAAAACCGGAGGCUCAACCUCUGGCGUGCGGGCGAUACGGGCAGACUUGAGUACUGCAGGGGAGACUGGAAUUCCUGGUGUAGCGGUGGAAUGCGCAGAUAUCAGGAGGAACACCGGUGGCGAAGGCGGGUCUCUGGGCAGUAACUGACGCUGAGGAGCGAAAGCGUGGGGAGCGAACAGGAUUAGAUACCCUGGUAGUCCACGCCGUAAACGGUGGGUACUAGGUGUGGGUUUCCUUCCUUGGGAUCCGUGCCGUAGCUAACGCAUUAAGUACCCCGCCUGGGGAGUACGGCCGCAAGGCUAAAACUCAAAGAAAUUGACGGGGGCCCGCACAAGCGGCGGAGCAUGUGGAUUAAUUCGAUGCAACGCGAAGAACCUUACCUGGGUUUGACAUGCACAGGACGCCGGCAGAGAUGUCGGUUCCCUUGUGGCCUGUGUGCAGGUUGUG
RNAcentral lists this ribosomal RNA (470 nucleotides) under Mycobacterium sp. RNAcentral's name for it is "bacterial SSU rRNA". It matches the Rfam family "Bacterial small subunit ribosomal RNA", at positions 574 to 1043 of the family's 1533-position model. The record is from RNAcentral. Lineage: Bacteria; Bacillati; Actinomycetota; Actinomycetes; Mycobacteriales; Mycobacteriaceae.